RNAcentral lists this ribosomal RNA (429 nucleotides) under bacterium. Its description in RNAcentral is "partial 16S ribosomal RNA". It matches the Rfam family "Bacterial small subunit ribosomal RNA", at positions 355 to 776 of the family's 1533-position model. The record is from RNAcentral.
UAGGGAAUCUUCGGCAAUGGGGGCAACCCUGACCGAGCAACGCCGCGUGAGUGAAGAAGGUUUUCGGAUCGUAAAGCUGUGUUGUAAGAGAAGAACGUGUGUGAGAGUGGAAAGUUCACACAGUGACGGUAACUUACCAGAAAGGGACGGCUAACUACGUGCCAGCAGCCGCGGUAAUACGUAGGUCCCGAGCGUUGUCCGGAUUUAUUGGGCGUAAAGCGAGCGCAGGCGGUUUAAUAAGUCUGAAGUUAAAGGCAGUGGCUUAACCAUUGUUCGCUUUGGAAACUGUUAAACGUGAGUGCAGAAGGGGAGAGUGGAAGUCCAUGUGUAGCGGUGAAAUGCGUAGAUAUAUGGAGGAACACCGGUGGCGAAGGCGGCUCUCUGGUCUGUAACUGACGCUGAGGCUCGAAAGCGUGGGGAGCAAACAGG